UCUGCUGACUGUGUCUGAAGGAGUCCAAUCUGGGAUGAAAUUAACUAUUUCUUACCUGAAUAUUAAAGACAUGAGGCGUCAUGGUUUCAUUAACUGAUUCGGGAAUUUCAUCUAUGUCAUCAUAGAUGAAAUCGAGAUCGAAGGAUGUUAGAUCUUCCCAUUUGAGGCAGCUUUUGCUGCUCUAUGUUGAUAGGAUGAAGCCCAUGUUCACCCGGCCC
Molecule: long non-coding RNA, 218 nt
Filed under: Elaeis guineensis (African oil palm)
Lineage: Eukaryota; Viridiplantae; Streptophyta; Magnoliopsida; Arecales; Arecaceae
Description: long non-coding RNA (EGUI_LNC054389)
Source: RNAcentral